UACGUAGGGUGCAGGCGUUAAUCGGAAUUACUGGGCGUAAAGCGUGCGCAGGCGGUCUCUUAAGUCAGGUGUGAAAUCCCCGGGCUUAACCUGGGAACUGCGCUUGUAACUGUGAGGCUAGAGUGUGGCAGAGGGGGGUGGAAUUCCACGUGUAGCAGUGAAAUGCGUAGAGAUGUGGAGGAACACCGAUGGCGAAGGCAGCCCCCUGGGCUAACACUGACGCUCAUGCACGAAAGCGUGGGGAGCAAACAGG
RNAcentral lists this ribosomal RNA (253 nucleotides) under uncultured bacterium. RNAcentral's name for it is "partial 16S ribosomal RNA". It matches the Rfam family "Bacterial small subunit ribosomal RNA", at positions 524 to 776 of the family's 1533-position model. The record is from RNAcentral.